This 319-nucleotide ribosomal RNA is filed under the name uncultured eukaryote. Its description in RNAcentral is "partial 18S ribosomal RNA". It matches the Rfam family "Eukaryotic small subunit ribosomal RNA", at positions 1470 to 1796 of the family's 1831-position model. The record is from RNAcentral.
CCCUUAGAUGUUCUGGGCAGCACGCGCGCUACAAUGGUCUUCGCAAACGGAUGCAUUCUCGAAGGAGAAUGCCAAUCUUGGAAUCUAUGCCUUGGUCGGGACAGUUGCUUGCAAUUUUUCGACUCGAACCAGGAAUUCCUUGUAAUGGUGAUUCAUCACAUCACGAUGAAUACGUCCCUGCCCUUUGUACACACCGCCCGUCGCUCCUACCGAUCGAAGAGUUAGGUGAAUUGUUUUGAUCGAUAAGAUUUGACUAUGGUCAACUCUCGUUGUGAAAUUCUGUGAAUCUGACUGUUUAGAGGAAGGAAAAGUCGUAACA